UGGCUUGGUGGAGCUGAAGAGGGCACUCACAUCUCUAUGCCCAACCCUGCCAGCAGGGUGGAAAUUCAGGCAGGCUGUGGGAGGGUGGGGUUGUCCUCCUGGGGCUCUGCCCAGCUCUCCCAUCUAGCUUCCCGUACACCCACUGCAGGGGCCACAGGCACCCAAGGAGGCCUGGAAGAUGGACUGGCCCUCCCUGUCUGCUACACCCACAGGGGGCACGCUAGAAACGCAGAAGGGGACGCAGCAGCCACAUUCCAGUCCACAAAGACGCCGCGCAGGCCCGUCCAUCUGCCCCGUGAAUGCCAACCAGGCAGAGACACACAUACAGCUGAGGCUGGGCCGGAUCCCAGAGCAAACCCUUGGGUGCCUCUGGAGGGAGCCCGCCAAGAGGGAUGGCUCAUAAACACUGGGGAAGGAACAGAAGGGGAGGGAGCAAAGGAACUCGGCCGCUCACCUCCGACCCAACCACUUCCCGAGAAGCCAUCUCUGUGGUCAUGGUGGUCCCAGGCCUGGCUCUCCCUGCGCCCACCCCCACCACCCAGUCACUCCACCCAGUCACCCCACCCAGCUGUGACCUGCCACUUCCCUCCAUCUCACAUGCUUUCCCCUCACCUCCCUCAGGAAGCCUCCCCAGCCUCUGGCCUCCAGUCCCAACAAGCCAUGCUCCUUCCAGAGGGAACCUCUGCCAGGGGAGCCUCCACUUUCUUGCUCCUGCCUCCCUACCUGGCACCCAGGCCGGCCCUGGUACCCUGGUACUGAAUAAAGGCACACGUCUAAAUGAUGUCGGGGGGAAUCUGCCCAGUGUUGGCACUGGAGCGAACACGACCCACUGCCAGCAUGGCCCACGAGCCACACCCCCCCAAGCCAGCACCUCCUCCCCAGAGGAAGCACGGGGCUCGACGGGGCACGCCCCUGAAUGGGAGGUCACACAUGGUGCAUACAAUGGAAUAGGAUUAAUCCGUGAAAAGGAAGAAAUUCUGACACAUGCUCCGGCGUGGAGGAACCUUGAGGACGACGCUGAGUGAAAGAAGCCAGACACGAAAGGACAGAUACGGCAAGACUCGACUUAUGUGAGGUCCCUAGAGGAGUCGGAUUCAUAGAGACUGAAAGGAUGGCGGGCACCAGGGGCGGUGGAGAGGGGAAAUGGGGAGUUACUGUUUAAUGGGGACAGAGUUUCAGUUUUACAAGAUGAAAAGGGUCCUGGAGCUGGAUGGGGGUGACGGCCGCACAACAGCAUGAAUGGACUGAACGCCACUGAAAACUGAACUCUUGAAAAUGGUUAAACUGGCAAAUUUUGUUAUGCAUAUUUUGCCACAAAAAGCAAACAACUCUUCUCCCCAAAAAUAUCUGGGGUGUACUUACACUAAAUAUGUAGGGCAUAUUUACUCUCAACAUUUAUUUCCUUAUUUGAAAUGAAAGUAUUUGGGACACACUGCACUACAAAAUGAUUCAGGGUCUACCUGAAAUUCCCAUGUACCUCGUGUCCUGUCUUUGCAUCCGCUAAGUCCGGCGGCCCUUUGCAGCGUGGGGGUGGGGGGGG
RNAcentral lists this long non-coding RNA (1540 nucleotides) under Homo sapiens (human). RNAcentral's name for it is "non-protein coding lnc-ANKMY1-2:7". Lineage: Eukaryota; Metazoa; Chordata; Mammalia; Primates; Hominidae. The record is from RNAcentral.